UAUUGUACAUCAGUUACAUGUUCCAAAAUUGUGGUCAUUUUCAAGAAGUUGCCUUUGAUCUUUAACUAAGUUUCCUCUAGACAUUUGGAGCAUCCACAUCUGAAACCAUAGUCUGCGAGUAAUGCCUGUCUCUCUUCAAAAGGAAGGUCCUCGUCGAUAUAUGAAAUAGUUAUCUCUUCUCCUUUGGCAAUGGGUUGAAGAGCAAUUAUGGUUGCUUGGCCAUCUCGAUCCUCUUCUCGCUUAAAAGCUUUUGCAUUAGGUCUGCAGGAAUGGUUCAUACAGCUUUGCAAGGGGAAAAACGCAGUACCUUGACAACAAAUUGAAUAGUCAUCACCAAGAGCAUCUAGGAUAGGCUUUGUAGUUUGCUCAACCUCUCCCUUUUCAGAGAGAGGAAGAUCAUCAAUAUACAGAAAGUAAUCCUCCACUGGUGACUCUACCACCAAAUCAAGGUUAUUCAGCUCAAACAUGCCAAUGAUAUUGCCAUAUAUUUCAAGCGAGAAUAAUGGCUGGCAUUCCUCAUCAAAGAUAGCCUCCUUGAGAAGCUGCAGAGACGUUAAUGCCAGCUCCUUUAUUUGCAUUCGGAAUGAAGCUUCAUCAGAACCAUCAACAUCAGCUGGUAAAGCAAUGCAAUCCCACCACCUUCGUUUGUAGCCCAUGGACACGGGCUUCCAUGCCUCCCCCAGUAAAGAAAAAUCAAUACUUUCUGAAAUAACCUGCUUCCCUUUUCCCUCAUGACGACUUUCUUUCAAAUUCUUAUGUCUCAAAAUGGUGAAAGAAAUAACCUUUGCUGCAAGAAGGAAAAUGUCAUUUGUAUCAUUAGCAUGUUCUAUAAAUUUCUGAAGCGCCUUUGUGCUUAAUGACUUUGACCCCUCCCCCGUGCACAGCAAAGAAUGAAAAGACUCCCAAUCAGCCUCUGCACAAGAUUUGCUGCAAUAGUAGUUCUCUUUACAUCCACCUGGACAAGAAACAAUUGGAGGCAUUGAGAAUUUCUCAGAAUAUGGUAGUCGCAUCUCACCAUUAAACAAU
This 1026-nucleotide unclassified non-coding RNA is filed under the name Hevea brasiliensis (rubber tree). Lineage: Eukaryota; Viridiplantae; Streptophyta; Magnoliopsida; Malpighiales; Euphorbiaceae. The record is from RNAcentral.